CCUACGGGUGGCAGCAGUGGGGAAUAUUGCACAAUGGGGGAAACCCUGAUGCAGCGACGCCGCGUGAGUGAAGAAGUAUUUCGGUACGUAAAGCUCUAUCAGCAGGGAAGAAAAUGACGGUACCUGACUAAUAAGCCCCUGCUAACUACGUGCCAGCAGCCGCGGGAAUACGUCGGGCGCAAGGGUUAACCGGAUUUAAUGGGGGUAAAGGGAGCGUAGACGGCAGCGUAAGUCUGAAGUGAAAUCCCAGGGCUUAACCAUGGAACUGCUUUGGAAACUGUGCAGCUGGAGUGCAGGAGAGGUAAGCGGAAUUCCUAGUGUAGCGGUGAAAUGCGUAGAUAUUAGGAGGAACACCAGUGGCGAAGGCGGCUUACUGGAUUGUAACUGACGUUGAGGCUCGAAAGCGUGGGGAGCAAACAGGAUUAGAUACCCCUGUAGUC
Molecule: ribosomal RNA, 440 nt
Filed under: uncultured bacterium
Lineage: Bacteria
Description: partial 16S ribosomal RNA
Rfam family: Bacterial small subunit ribosomal RNA
Source: RNAcentral